This 961-nucleotide long non-coding RNA is filed under the name Mustela putorius furo (domestic ferret). RNAcentral's name for it is "lncRNA (ENSMPUG00000026914.1)". Lineage: Eukaryota; Metazoa; Chordata; Mammalia; Carnivora; Mustelidae. The record is from RNAcentral.
GGGAUUCUGGGAAAUGUAGUUCUGGCGAGGACCGGCCAUGGCCGAGGGCAGGCGGGGCUGGUUCCGCCAGCUGCGGUCCUGGUUUGGAAGCAAGAUGGGCUUUCAUAAGGCUCCAAGAAGUACCCCUGGGCAGCAGAAGUUGAUCUUGAGAGGAAGUAACUUCUACCUGGCCCCUCUAGCUGAAUUUCACAGCAGGCACUAGGCUGACUCUGUCCUGCCCGCUGAGAGCCAGGCCGGGGACAGGUUUUGCCUCUGGAAGACAGGGAAGACACAGAGACCAUGAAGGAACGGACUCAAAAUCACCCGGCAGGUGGGAGUUGGUGGGUCUGGGGAGGCACCGGGGGUUCAGCCAGAAUGUUUCGGUGAGCACAGCUGUGCCCAGAGGCUCCUUUGUCCCUGCCAGGCCUAGAGGAGGAGCUCUGUGAGCAGCAUGGGCGGCCCAGCCCCUCAGAGUUGCUCCUUUUCACCCAGGUUUGCCUUCUGGCUCUACUGACUGGCUCCAGGGAAAAGAGGGCAAGGCCCAAAUGCUGGUGAGUUGGGUUCCUUUUACUUUUUUUUUUUUUUUUUUGCCUGAAAUGCUGGCUUGUUUCCCAGAGAAUAAGCAUAUAUUCUCUUUCUUGAAAAGGGGAAAGACAGCCGUUCCCGUCUGUGUCAGACAGUCUUAGUCAUUUGUGUGUUUGAUUUUCUUUGUUGAAAAAUAUACCCCGGGAGCACCUGGGUGGCUCAGUGGGUUAAGCCUCUGCCUUCGGCUCAGGCCAUGAUCUCAGGGUCCUGGGAUCAUGCCCCACGUUGGGCUCUCUGCUCAGUGGGGAGCCUGCUUCCCUCCCUCUCUCUGCCUGCCUCUCUGCGAACCUGUGAUCUCUGUCUGUCAAAUAAAUAAAUAAAAUCUUUAAAAAAGAAAGAAAAAUAUACCCAAGAUUAAUAUUAAGAGUAACUUUUUAAAAAAUUAAUUUUAUUUAUU